This 351-nucleotide long non-coding RNA is filed under the name Brassica napus (rape). RNAcentral's name for it is "long non-coding RNA (BNAP_LNC012332)". The record is from RNAcentral. Lineage: Eukaryota; Viridiplantae; Streptophyta; Magnoliopsida; Brassicales; Brassicaceae.
UUGUUGAACUUGUACCGGACUGUUUGAAUCAUACCAAGUUUGCGCUAAAAUGGUCUGAUUUGGUAUAGAUAGCUUGUAUAUUAUGAGAUGAAUAAGGUGUUAUAGAUAGCUUGUAUAUUAGAUUUUGAGAUGAAUAAGGUGGUUUAAUCUGGUCAGUGUCAUAGUGUUCUAACUCAAUAAUACUGUCAUGGUUGUAAUAUGAAUGAGAUCAAUAUAUUGAUGAAGAAACAGGGGUUUCCGUGUACUAUAAGGCAUACCAACAACGACAUUGUCAUAUAUACAUCGUACAUUUUUUUUUUUCACAUGGCCUAUUAGAAACAUAUAAUAUAUAGGUCUCUCUAUUAAAAAACG